CUCAGAUUCAAACAUGAGUAAUCUUGCCUGAAGCCUUUUGCAAAAGCUGCCUUUUCCUCUUUUUUUCUUUUUUUUUUUUAAUUUUAUCUUGGAUAUGUUCCUCUAUCUGCAUAAUACAGAUAGAAUAAUAUGCCAGAGAAGCAUGUUGUUCAUGUUUGCAAAAAUAUUUGGUGGUUGACAAAUGAGCUUGAUGUACUGUGCUGUUGUACUGACUUGACACUAAUCUCUGCCACUUAGAGCAAAUGAGAAUAAAUCACCUCUCCUCUCUUAUCUUCUCCACCCCGAGUUGUGUGUGCACUUGCAGCUCAAGCUGGCUCAAGGUUUAUUUCAAUCCAUGCUUCCCCACCAAUCCUGUCCUGCCAGUUCAGUUUGGGUUGGGAAAAGCUCAGGAGCAGCCCUGGAGUUGGCACUCGCACUGAACCACUGGGCCACUGCGUUCAGGUUUCAGACAUGCAGGUAGGAGAUGACAAGGGAAAAAGGACAGUGAUCUCAGCAGCUAAAAACACCUGGAAAAAAAAGGGAUUGAUUUCAAAGUCUGUCCCCAUAAACGGGAUAUAAUUUACAGGCCUGGUAAAAGGGUGCUGGGAAUCAAGUGAAAUAAAACCACGCUUGCUCAGCCGUCGAACUGCAGAAAUGGGAGCUGAAAUAUUAAUUGCAGAGCUUUACAUUAAAACUGUCAUGUUUGUGAGCAUGGAAUUCAGCAAGGUAUGUCCAGUGGGCUCAGCUUUGGGAUUGCUCCCUUAUCCUCACUGUCAGUCUGAAUCUCAGCUCUCCAGUUUAGGAGUUUAAGUGGAGCUGUGAACUCUCUGGCCAUUCUCAGCCCUUCUGUGUUUAACAGGGGGUUCUCUCUCUUCUGCCAUCUAUAAACCAAGUCAUAAUUGCCCAAAUAUUUACAGUGGUGUUUAUUUCUGGCAGUGAUUUGGUGUUUGUCAUUCACAUUAUGACUGCGAAGCAAUACUUCUGUGCAGUUGAGGUAUUUCAAAUUAUUUGCCUACUGAAGAAGCAAACGUUUCAUUUCUUUCAGAUUGUCACUGCUGCUUAUUAUGUGAGCAAGGACCUAAUUAUGAUUUCACAAUUUGUUUACUGUAUGCUCAGGAGUCAGAAGGUAACAAAAUAG
This 1117-nucleotide long non-coding RNA is filed under the name Cyanistes caeruleus (blue tit). RNAcentral's name for it is "lncRNA (ENSCCEG00000017253.1)". The record is from RNAcentral. Lineage: Eukaryota; Metazoa; Chordata; Aves; Passeriformes; Paridae.